UAGGGAAUAUUGGUAAUGUGCGAAAGCGCGAACCAGCAACGCCGCGUGCACGAUGAAGGCCUUCGGGUCGUAAAGUGCUUUUAGAGAGGAUGAGGAAGGACAGUACUUUCUGAAUAAGCCUCGGCUAACUACGUGCCAGCAGCCGCGGUAAAACGUAGGAGGCAAGCGUUAUCCGGAUUUACGGGGCGUAAAGCGCAUGCAGGUGGUUUUGUAAGUUGGAUGUGAAAGCUCCUGGCUUAACUGGGAGAGGUCGUUCAAAACUACAAGACUUGAGAUUGGUAGAGGAAAAUGGAAUUCCGGGUGUAGUGGUGAAAUGCGUAGAUAUCCGGAGGAACACCAGUGGCGAAAGCGGUUUUCUGGACCAAUUCUGACACUCAGAUGCGAAAGCUAAGGUAGCAAACG
RNAcentral lists this ribosomal RNA (402 nucleotides) under uncultured bacterium. RNAcentral's name for it is "bacterial SSU rRNA". It matches the Rfam family "Bacterial small subunit ribosomal RNA", at positions 355 to 774 of the family's 1533-position model. The record is from RNAcentral.